Long non-coding RNA from Acanthopagrus latus (yellowfin seabream), 1467 nucleotides. RefSeq lists it as uncharacterized. The transcript is spliced from 2 exons. The record is from RefSeq and is a predicted model, not a curated record. Lineage: Eukaryota; Metazoa; Chordata; Actinopteri; Spariformes; Sparidae.
AUUCAACCUUAUUAAGUUUACAUAUUGAAAUGCAAUGCUUUGUGUGAGUGGAUGAGACUCUAACCAGACAGAAAAGUUGUAAACUUGCAGUCCAUUUACCAUCCUCCAUUUGAAUGGAAUAUCAUUUAGUAACUUAGAAGUGACGCGUAAUAUAGCAUAAUAUGUGACAUAGAAACAACUAAAAGUGACAGUGUUUGCGAUAUUUCUGCCAAAAUGGUCCUCACACACACACACACACACACACACACACACACACAUACACACAGGACACAGCACACUUAAAGCAAUAGUAUUCUUAAUAUAUCUGUCAUUUCAACAUUCAAAAGGUGCAACCCUUUGCUUUUUAAUAGCUUACCUUUUCUCCACACUCAGAUGUACUGCACACAUGCAGGCAGGCUGCCAUGCACAGCUCACAACAUGGACACUGUCCUUUACCACACACACUGUCUGGAGCAUGCGCCUAUAAACAACAAGGCACAAAACUGACCCAUUUCUGAUCCAGUCACCAAAGUCCAUCCCAGUCAGACAGACAAUGUUAGAACGAAGUCCACGACGAGACAAAUUUAAGGCAAACAGUCUAAAAAACUUAGAACUAUAUAGUGGUGCAGUUGGUAUAUUCAGCACGCACUGUACACACAACAGCACCCUUGAACUGGAAACUCAGCCCUUAUGGAUAGUCCACAAUACUUGAUACCACUCACAAAUACUUGAUGUGUGUUCUUGUAAGAACACUGCAGAAUGCUCUUAGAAGCAGACCAACAAGGUGUCCUUCCAGUGAAACCGCUCGACCACAGCUCGAGCUUGAACUACUGCAGAAUUCAAAGAUUUGUAAGUUUGGCACGGUGCUUUCUCAUCUCCAUACAGCACACGGAAGACGGGACAUGCCGGGUUGAUCGGGCAAGACUGCCGCAGACAGAAGCGGUAAGAGAAAAGCUGCUCAACUAGACAGAGAAGAUGCGUUGGGCUAACGUGAUAGCCAAGUCCUCACACAGAAAUAGCAGGAGAACGAUGACUAACCCAGAGAAGACAGCGGAUAAACAAGCAGCGGACACAAAUCUGCUCUUGUCCCAGUUAGAGGAGCGAAGAAUCCGGAGUGGAACAAACAAGAGAGGAUAGUUUCGAGCACAGUUCCUCUCUCAGUCCAACAGUGUCGGUAACGAUAAAGACUAUCCUGUACGUUCGUCCACUGGCCAGCUCGCCUCCAUUCAGCCAGCAGUGUAGCGUUCACUCAAACAACAUCAAGCAGCCGGCAUUGCAUGUGUAAACUUCCUGUUGACACUUUCAAGUUAAAAUACAGUUUGGUCAACAGAGAGUCAAUGUUCCGGUGGACCCAGUUGGACCUAAUGUGAGAUAAAACUCUGUAAGUGAAUGGAGAGACAAAUUCUGUUUGAAUUGUGUAAUGUGUCAAUUUGUCAUCAAACUAAUGAAAUAUCAGACUACAUCAUAAUAAAGACAACAGAACUAACA